Megalopta genalis is the source of this 824-nucleotide long non-coding RNA. RefSeq lists it as uncharacterized. The record is from RefSeq and is a predicted model, not a curated record. NCBI's taxonomy places the organism in Eukaryota, Metazoa, Arthropoda, Insecta, Hymenoptera, Halictidae.
CUGGCUCAUCUGUUUGUGGUAUGUCCACUGGUUCAUCCAUGAUGUUUUGUGUAAAAAGGCUGUCCAUUUUUACAAUUACUAUAAAUGCUAGUUAUACUAAUCGGUAAUUUUCAAUGUAUCAUAUGGUUUAAAUAUUAUGUUUUUUUUAUAAAUAUGUGGAAAAAAACAAAAUUGGUGCUGCCUUCUUCGACGAAAAAAUAAAUGAUCGAAACAAGGUUAAGCGUUUAUCAAAGGAGAAUGAUAUUCCAUGUAUGUAUACAACAUACAACACAACCACCUUCAGCUGAGCUAAGCAGCAUAGGUUAUUGUUCGUUCAAUAAAGAUAUCAUUGUUUUCACAAAUGACAUUCGUAAUGUAUCCGUGUCCACUUUACGAAAACAUCAACAAUAUUAUGCUAACAACACUGCAGCUGAUUUUUAAGCCUACACGAUCAUUAAGAGCAAGUAGUCAUGAUACGAAAUUCAAUAAUGGAAAAUGAGGCAAAUAAAGUAAUUGAACGAAGGCAAAGACUGAAAUGAUUUUUAUUAGCUAAAUUAAUCGACCUUGCUGCUGACCCUCACGGAAACUGAGACUGAUCAUCUUGUUGAAAACGUUAAAUAAAUCAAAUGAUAAGUAACUCUAAUCUUUAAUAGAUUGUAGCCGGCAAUCAAAUCCGUAGUAAUCAGCAAUUAAUAUAGCAGUAGAAGAAGAAACGAACCGGAUUAAAUAAUAGCUGAAAAUAGAAGAUAUUCGUGAAGAAAUACAAUGAAAGUUUAUCUAUAUAAAUAAUAUUCAAUAAAAGUUGUAUUAUAAAAUAUUAUACUGAAAUAAAAUAUUUAUAUUCA